This 80-nucleotide transfer RNA is filed under the name Hapsidospora chrysogena. RNAcentral describes it as "Acremonium chrysogenum tRNA-Ser". The record is from RNAcentral. Lineage: Eukaryota; Fungi; Ascomycota; Sordariomycetes; Hypocreales; Bionectriaceae.
GGAAAAGUUGCCAUAGGUAAGGCGAGAUGUUUGCUAUACAUUGUGUAAUUCACUUGGGUGUUCGAUUCACUUCUUUUCCG